RNAcentral lists this transfer RNA (60 nucleotides) under Neotoma lepida (desert woodrat). It matches the Rfam family "tRNA", at positions 7 to 64 of the family's 71-position model. From Rfam's summary of the family: Transfer RNA (tRNA) molecules are approximately 80 nucleotides in length. Their secondary structure includes four short double-helical elements and three loops (D, anti-codon, and T loops). Lineage: Eukaryota; Metazoa; Chordata; Mammalia; Rodentia; Cricetidae. The record is from Rfam by way of RNAcentral.
GUAGCUCAGUUGGCAGAGUAUUUGUCUACCAAGCACAAGACCCUGGGUUCAACCCCUAGC